GAUGAAGAACGUAGCGAAAUGCGAUACUUGGUGUGAAUUGCAGAAUCCCGUGAACCAUCGAGUCUUUGAACGCAAGUUGCGCCCGAAGCCAUUAGGCCGAGGGCACGCCUGCCUGGGCGUCACACGUCGUUGCCCCCCCAUCUACUCCUUCGGGAUUGCGGGGGGCGGAUGAUGGCCUCCCGUGCGCCUCGCCGCGCGGUUGGCAUAAAUGCCAAGUCCUCGGCGACGCACGCCACGACAAUCGGUGGUUGCGAAACCUCGGUUGCCCGUCGUGUGCGGUCGUCGCGCAUCGAGGGCUCGAAAAAAUUGCCGGGUUCCGGCGCGGCUUUCAACGCGACCCCAGGUCAGGCGGGGUUACCCGCUGAAUUUAAGCAUAUCAAUAAGCGGAGGA
RNAcentral lists this unclassified non-coding RNA (391 nucleotides) under soil metagenome. RNAcentral describes it as "partial contains 5.8S ribosomal RNA, internal transcribed spacer 2, and large subunit ribosomal RNA". The stretch from base 1 to 122 matches the Rfam family "5.8S ribosomal RNA", at positions 35 to 154 of the family's 154-position model. The record is from RNAcentral.